RNAcentral lists this ribosomal RNA (429 nucleotides) under Actinomycetes bacterium. RNAcentral describes it as "Actinobacteria bacterium partial 16S ribosomal RNA". It matches the Rfam family "Bacterial small subunit ribosomal RNA", at positions 355 to 776 of the family's 1533-position model. The record is from RNAcentral. Lineage: Bacteria; Bacillati; Actinomycetota; Actinomycetes.
UGGGGAAUUUUGGACAAUGGGGGCAACCCUGAUCCAGCAAUGCCGCGUGAGUGAAGAAGGCCUUCGGGUUGUAAAGCUCUUUUGUCAGGGAAGAAACGGUGAGGGCUAAUAUCCUUUGCUAAUGACGGUACCUGAAGAAUAAGCACCGGCUAACUACGUGCCAGCAGCCGCGGUAAUACGUAGGGUGCAAGCGUUAAUCGGAAUUACUGGGCGUAAAGCGUGCGCAGGCGGUUAUGUAAGUCAGAUGUGAAAUCCCCGGGCUCAACCUGGGAAUGGCAUUUGAGACUGCAUGGCUAGAGUGUGUCAGAGGGGGGUAGAAUUCCACGUGUAGCAGUGAAAUGCGUAGAGAUGUGGAGGAAUACCGAUGGCGACGGCAGCCCCCUGGGAUAACACUGACGCUCAUGCACGAAAGCGUGGGGAGCAAACAGG